Pan troglodytes (chimpanzee) is the source of this 1515-nucleotide long non-coding RNA. RefSeq lists it as uncharacterized. NCBI's taxonomy places the organism in Eukaryota, Metazoa, Chordata, Mammalia, Primates, Hominidae. The record is from RefSeq and is a predicted model, not a curated record. The transcript is spliced from 2 exons.
GGCCCUUUCAGAGCCUACUCCAGCCACUGGUGGGCUGCUGGGGGAGGGAUUUUUUUGUUUUUGUUUUUGAGACGGAGCCUUAAUCUGUCCCUCAGGCUGGAGUGCAGUGGCGUGAUCUCGGCCCACUGCAACCUCUGCCUCCUGGGUUCAAGCAAUUCUCCUGCCUCAGCCUCCUGAGUAGCUGGGACUACAGGUCACGUCCUUGCGAAACCUCUGCAGCCUCUGCCGGUAACCACCACCCCGGCCCCACCCUGGGGAGAAGGGGCGGAGCCUCCGGGGCGAGCCACGCCCCCGAUGAGCCCGGUCCUGCCCAGCGUGGCCGCCAGAGGGCACCGAGGUUCGGGAGUCGGGGUGGGGCGCCCCGGGGCCUCUGUCUGCUCCCGGCCGCGGCACCCGCACCUACUCGGUGGGGGCGGGGGCCAGGGCUGGGGAAAGUCCCAGGGCGUGCCUGGUGCCAGAAACGUUCCUCACGCACCUGGAGUCGCAGAAUGCCCGGGCUGGAAGGGAUGCCAGGGUGGGGACCUAACCUGCCAAAGGUCACACCCUGGGGAAGGUCUCCCAAUGCCGUGUCCUCCUGACCAGGCCGCGUAGUGCGCAUGGCCUGUUUGCCACCUGUAAUUGAAGGGUUAGCUCACCAACAAGCUCUGCCCACUGCCCACAAAUACACCUUCCUGGGGCCUCUUCUGAAAUCAUCGUUCUUUACAUUGCAUCCAAAGUAGGUUUCUCUCCCAUUGCAGCAGAUGUCAAACAAAAAACAAAGUAGGUCUCUCCAUUUCCCGAUACAGUUGACCCUUGAACAAUAUGGGUUUAAACUUCGCGUAUCCACUUACACUUGGAUUUUUUUUUCAAUAAAAGUUACACCAAGGGCCGGGCGUGGUAUUUUUGGUAGAGAUGGGGUUUCACCAUCUUGGCCAGGCUGGUUUUGAACUCCUGACCUGGUGAUCCACCUGCCUCGGCCUCCCAAAGUGCUGGGAUUAAGGGCGUGAGCCACCGUGCCUGGCCAGUUAUUGUUUGUGAAUGUGUGUGUGUUUUGUGGUUUUUUGUUUUUGUUUUCGUUUUUUGUUUUUUUGAGACAGAGUCUCACUCUGUCGCCCAGGCUGGAGUGCAGUGUUGCGAUCUCAGCUCACUGCAGCCUCCACUUCCCAGGUUCAAGAGAUUCUCCUGCCUCAACCUCCCGAGUAGCUGGGACUACAGGAGUGCACCACCACACCCGGCUAAUUUUUGUAUUGUUAGUAGAGACGGGGUUUCAUCAUGUUGUCCAGGCUGGGCUCGAACUCCCGGCCUCAAGUGAUCCGCCCACCAUGGCCUCCCAAAGUGCUGGGAUUACAGGUGUGAGCCACCUCGCCUGGCCUGGUUAUUGUUCACAACACCCAGAACAAGAAACAGAACAUUACCAUUGCGCCAUGCCCUAUUUCAGACACUACCUCCCCAAGGGUAGUCACUAUCCUGACUUUUCACGGCACCGAAUAGUUUCACCUGGUUUUGUGCUUUAUGUAAAUUGAAUCAUACAACACG